RNAcentral lists this long non-coding RNA (3243 nucleotides) under Homo sapiens (human). RNAcentral describes it as "HSALNT0213944". The record is from RNAcentral. Lineage: Eukaryota; Metazoa; Chordata; Mammalia; Primates; Hominidae.
AGUAGAAUGAUUUAUAAUCCUUUGGGUAUAUACCCAGCAAUGGGAUUGCUGAGUCAAAUGAUAUUUCUAGUUCUAGAUCCUUGAGGAAUAGCCACAACAAACUAUCACAAGAACAGAAAACCAAACACCGCAUGUUCUCACUCACAAGUGGGAGUUGAACAAUGAGAACACAAGGACACGGGGAGGGGAACGUCACGCACUGGGGCUUGUCGGGGGUGGGGGGCUAGGGGAGGGAUAACAUUAGGAGAAAUACCUAAUGUAGGUGACAGGUUGAUGGGUGCAGCAAGCCACCAUGGCAGGUGUAUACCUAUGUAACAAAACUGCACGUUCUGCACAUGUACCCUAGGACUUAAAUAAUAAUAAUAAUAAUAAAGAGAAGCUGUUACGUAGUCUUCCAUAGAGAUGUGGGUCAGUACAAGGCAAGAGAAUUUUGUGACUAGCUUUCUAAAUUCCAAACAGAGUUGUAAACAUGCCAUAGUACUAUUAAAGGGUGGGAGGGAAAAUAAGUAUUUUCUUUUACCCUAGACCUAUAAUUGGAAAUCAUGUUUGUAUUAGCCAGGAUUCUCCAGAUAGACAGAACUAAUAGGAUAAAUAAAUAUUAGGUUGGACAAAAGUAACUGCGGUUUUUGCUAUUACUUUUAAUAGACAAGUAUAGAUAUGGAUAUAGAUAUAGAUAUAGAUCUAUCUAUAUCUAUAUAUAGGAUACAUAGAUAUACCCUAUAUAUCUAUAUAGUAUCUAGUAGGAUAAUUGGCUCACAUGAUUAUCGAGGCUGAGUUAUACAAUUAAAAUACAAGCCAAAGCUUAAGCCCCGUUUUUAUAAAAACUGGUAUAGAAUUGUUUUUAUUUUAAUACAAAAUUAUAAUUUUGAUGACUUCAUAAGUUUACGUGUAGAAAAUAUAAUGGUGAAAUAGAACAUUCACUUACAUUUUUGAGGUCAUUUUUCAGCUUUUAAGUUAAGAAAAUAUAGAGGAAAUAAAGAGAAGUGAUAAUUAGCAGUGGGAGAACAAAUUAUAUAACAAUUCAAAAAAUUUUUUAAAAUUACCCAGAUCUUAUAUUGCCCUGAUCAAUGUAUCAGAUAUCAGUACCAGAUGAGUAUAUUUCAAAAUUUUAGUAAUAAAAAUUGGACAAUAUAAGAUUAGCUGAGGAAAAAACCAAAGUCUCAUUCAAAAUUCAUAGCACAAAAGGGAUUUGAAAGCAAGCAUAAAUUUUGGGCAGGAAGUGAGAAAAAUUACUUUCUACAUUUUUGUGGUUAAAUCUGAGAAACUAUGAUUUAAUCAACAUAUUCUUGCUUAUUUGUAAGAGUACUAAAACAUCUGAUUAUAUUGUCCAGAGCAUUCCAGACAGUUGCUUUUUACAGUUGCAGUAUACCUUUUGCAAAAACUAAGGUCAGAAAUAAUAAAUUCUGUAUAAAUAAGUUACUGUAAUUCACUUUGGGUAAAAAAGUACUUUCUUCCUUACGGUUUAUUUUUCCUGAAGGAAAAAUAUUCAUUUAGCAAUCACAAUGGACCAGGAGCUUGUUCAGGUGAUGAGACACUCGCGAAACAGAGUAGCCAGGGCAGAGACUGCCAAUGCUCCCGGGAAUUCAUUAUCUUCAUUUUCCCUGAGCCACAGAGCCUUGUGAUCUCUCCACAACCUAUCAUCGUGGAUUAGCUGGACACACAGUGACCUAAUUUAGAGAAGAGAGUUCUUGGCCUCCAUUUAAACGACAUGUGGCAGCAUUGGAGUAACUUUCAACCAGUGAAAGACACGCUGUUGGCGAGGUGGCGUUGAUCCCUUGUUCAAUACAACACUUAAGAGGAUGCCACAAAUUCAACAUAGAAGGAACCGGAGUCCUUAUAUAAUUGAAUCAGUGGAUUGAAUACAUUUUGCUCACUUGUCUCUGGACUGUCAUGUGAGGGGGAAAAAAAUGACAUGAUUGAAUAGGUCCACUCCAUUUUCUGUUUUUUUUGUUUGUUUGUUUGUUUGUUUUAAUUACCUACACCACUAACUAGCAGAAUCUUUUCUUCUUGGAAUUAAUACUCUAAUGAACAGUUUGUUCAAAAUUAAAUCAAUAAAAUGUGGCCACAUUUCUUACUCACCGAGACAUUUCUUGUUUUAUCCCCCCAGGGCUCUCUGUUUUAAAAAUUAAGGUCCUCAUUUUCCUGUGAAAUAGUAUCUAGUCAACGUAUUUCCAGAAAAUGUAUCUUCAUUAUUAUUUUCUUGUAUUUUCAAGUUUUGGUAAAUUUGGUUUUGAAAAGACUGAUUAAUAUUUAUUUCCAGUGGAUUUCCUCUCUCAUGAUAAGGCAAAUUUAAAUACAGCUUUAAAUCAUAAUGGCAUUAAUUCCUCACAGGGAAAUCCAGUGAGGUUUACCAGCAUUUUUGACCUACUUUCAAAGUGAAUUUUCUCUGUCAAAAGAUGUAGCUCAACUAAAAGAAAAAAAAAAAAAAAGGAAAAAAAGAAAGAAAAAGAAAAAAAAAGGAAAAAAAGAAAGAAAAAGAAAAAAGAAAUAUUCAGAAAGAUUAAAAAUAAGUGUAUGUUAUGACUCUACAAGUGUAGGAAAUACUACUUUAUCUCAGUCUCAAGUUCUUUUUAUUCACAUAUCCAAAUUCAUUCAAAUAUGCUGUUUAUAACAUAUGUAAAUGUGUAGAUAGAUAAAAUGUGCUUAGAAAAUAUUAUAUAAAUAGUAUAAAGAUAAAUAUAUCAUAUAUAAAUGUAUAUUUUAUUUUAAUAUUCAUUAAGCUUAUUUUUAGUAGCACUAUUUAACUUAUAGAAGGGGGAUACAAAAAUAUGCAGAUUAGAGCAAGCUGGUUAAAGCGUAGGGUCUGGGUCCGGAAUGCCUGGUUUGCAUCCGCUUCCUCUCAGUAGUGUGACCUUGGCCAAGUUUACCCAAACAUGCUGUGCUUCAGUUUCCUCAUUCAUGAAGUGGGCAAUAAUAGAAUCUUUUCUUAGUACAGCUGAGAAGAUAAAAAACAUUUUUCAAUAAAAUCACUUACAGCUUAGAUCAAAAAAAAAAAAAAAAAGAAAGAAAAGAAAGCACAGAUUGUCCCUGAUUAGGAUGAGGAUGAUUUGACUUACAAAUUUUCAACUUUAUAAUGGUGCAAAACCAUUGAAAUUUUGACAUACGGUUUUCAAUAAACUAUAUAACAUAGUAAACACCUUAUUACAAAAUAGGACUUGGUUCGAUGAUUUUCCCCAACUGUAGGCUAAUGUAAAUGAGAGCACAUUUAAGGUAGGAUAGGCUAAGCAAUGAUGUUCAGUAGGU